AGACACCCGCCCGUGCACAAUGGCCGGUGCACUCGCAGGGGCCCACGCGGCUGCUCAACCCGGCCGAAGGCCCCGCGGCUGGGCCUCAGGCGCUCGGGCGGGGGAGGCCCGAAGCCAGCAGCCCGCCGCCCCGGAACCAGCUGCUGGACGCUUGUGCUGGGGCUGCUCGCCCCCCAGCGGGGCCCUGGGGUAGCGGCUGCCAGCGGCCAGGAGCCCGUUAACCCCUUGGGGAAGUAGAACCUUAGUAGGGAAAGGCUGGAAGGAAAUCCUUCAAGAACCCAACUCCACAGCUCAGUCUGCACUAAUGACUUCCUUCCCUUCGGUGCAAGCACAGCCUGCCCAGCUCCAGCCACAUGAACAAACGCUUCUGGGUCUUAGUGCCACGACAUCAGCUCAUCGCAAAAAGUAAAGAACACAGUUUCAGAGGCACCCAAUGGCUCCUAAGGAAGCAGAGCCAAAAGGAUCUUCAAGAUGAGGUUACUGAGAUUCAGAGGAAUCACUUGCUCAACCAAGACCACACAUAAAGAGUAUGAUGAGACUGGAAUUCAGACCUACAAGGAACUUACUCCAAAGCAUAUGCCCUUUUGAUGAAAUGAGAUCUUGCUAUGCUGCCCAGGCUCGCCCUGACCUUCUGAGCUCAAGAGAUACUCUUCCCUGUGCCUCUCAAGUAACUAGAACUAUAGGUGUGCAAUACUGCACCCAAUUUCUUAUUAUUUUUUACAAUCAUUGGUAUGAGUACUACUUGUGUUCUACAGUAGACAACAAAAAUAAACAAUAAGCAAAAAGCAAA
Heterocephalus glaber (naked mole-rat) is the source of this 790-nucleotide long non-coding RNA. RefSeq lists it as uncharacterized. The record is from RefSeq and is a predicted model, not a curated record. NCBI's taxonomy places the organism in Eukaryota, Metazoa, Chordata, Mammalia, Rodentia, Bathyergidae.